RNAcentral lists this ribosomal RNA (629 nucleotides) under uncultured organism. RNAcentral's name for it is "bacterial SSU rRNA". It matches the Rfam family "Bacterial small subunit ribosomal RNA", at positions 90 to 752 of the family's 1533-position model. The record is from RNAcentral.
UGGGAGCGGCAGACGGGUGAGUAAUACGUUGGAACCUGCCCCAAAGUCAGGGAUAACCAGUAGAAAUAUUGGCUAAUACCGGAUAGUCACGAAAGUGUAAAGCUUUUGCGCUUUGGGAGGGGCCUGCGGUCUAUCAGCUUGUUGGUAAGGUAAUGGCUUACCAAUGCUAUGACGGAUAGCUGGCUUGAGAGAAUGAUCAGCCACAAUGGAACUGAGACACGGUCCAUACUCCUACGGGAGGCAGCAGUGAGGAAUCUUCCGCAAUGGGCGAAAGCCUGACGGAGCAACACCGCGUGAAGGAUGAAGGUCGUAAGAUUGUAAACUUCUUUUCUGAGGGAAGAAUUCUGACGGUACCUCAGGAAUAAGCAUCGGCUAACUACGUGCCAGCAGCCGCGGUAAGACGUAGGAUGCAAGCGUUAUCCGGAAUUAUUGGGCAUAAAGAGUUCGUAGGCGGUUUGUUAAGUUGGAUGUUAAAUUUUUGAGCUCAACUUAAAAAAAGUAUCCAAAACUGGCAAACUGGAGACUGGUAGAGGUAAGUGGAAUUCUGCAUGUAGGGGUAAUAUCCGUAGAUAUGCAGAGGAACACCAAAAGCGAAAGGCAGCUUACUGGAACAGUUCUGACGCUCAAGA